Molecule: unclassified non-coding RNA, 148 nt
Organism: Papio anubis (olive baboon)
Lineage: Eukaryota; Metazoa; Chordata; Mammalia; Primates; Cercopithecidae
Rfam family: Metazoan signal recognition particle RNA
About the family: The signal recognition particle (SRP) is a universally conserved ribonucleoprotein. It is involved in the co-translational targeting of proteins to membranes.
Source: Ensembl
GCUGGGUGUGGUGGCAUGCGCCUGUAGUCCCAGCUACUCAGGAGGCUGAGGCAGGAGAAUCGCUUGAACCCAGGAGGCAGAGUUGGCAGUGAGCCAAGAUGGCACCACUGCACUUCAGCCUGGGUGACAGAGUGAGACUCUGUCUCAA